AACGAACGCUGGCGGCAUGCCUAACACAUGCAAGUCGAACGAGACCUUCGGGUCUAGUGGCGCACGGGUGCGUAACGCGUGGGAACCUGCCUUUAGGUUCGGAAUAACUCAGAGAAAUUUGAGCUAAUACCGGAUGAUGUCUUCGGACCAAAGAUUUAUCGCCUUUAGAUGGGCCCGCGUUGGAUUAGCUAGUUGGUGGGGUAAAGGCCUACCAAGGCGACGAUCCAUAGCUGGUCUGAGAGGAUGAUCAGCCACACUGGGACUGAGACACGGCCCAGACUCCUACGGGAGGCAGCAGUGGGGAAUAUUGUACCAUGGGCUAAAGCCUGAUCCAGCCAUGCCGCGUGAGUGAUGAAGGCCUUAGGGUUGUAAAGCUCUUUUACCCGAGAUGAUAAUGACAGUAUCGGGAGAAUAAGCUCCGGCUAACUCCGUG
Molecule: ribosomal RNA, 433 nt
Filed under: uncultured bacterium
Lineage: Bacteria
Description: partial 16S ribosomal RNA
Rfam family: Bacterial small subunit ribosomal RNA
Source: RNAcentral